Molecule: long non-coding RNA, 825 nt
Filed under: Homo sapiens (human)
Lineage: Eukaryota; Metazoa; Chordata; Mammalia; Primates; Hominidae
Description: non-protein coding lnc-MRPS5-4:1
Source: RNAcentral
GCCCACGCAGGCCUGGGGCAUGCAGCCCUGGCCGGACGACUAAGCGGAGUCUUGGGCACAACAUGACACUGCCCUUCUCGGGGGCUUUCCUGCUCCAGGCAUGAAGGCAAGGUUUGACCUCACUCAAAAGUUAGUGAACUGAAAACAGACCAAGGGCCUAGGCAGCCUCCACACACACCCUGCCAGCCACGGAGCCGCCCGCUGUGGACACAGCCCCAGGUGCCCGGACUCACCACGGCAGCAAUGUUUUCAUGGUAGUGCCUGUAGGUGAAGCCGUCUUGCAUCGUGAUGGUGGCCAGGGCCUCCAGGACUGAGGCGCUGAGGAUGAUCAAGGUGGUGGUGGCCACGAAGCAGAACACAGACACGAACAUCACCCAGCCCUGGACCAGGGGCCAGGGCACCAGGGAGGAGGCCACCAGGAUCCACACCAGGCCCCCGAAGAUCUGCGGGGGAGGAGGAGGGGAAGUGUUCUGAUGAUCAGAUUUGGAGUUGGAAUGGAGUAACCAAGGACAGCCUUGUCUCUUUGGAUGGCUGAGGAUGGGCAUGAGGAAAGUACAGUCCCGUGGUUAUCCAGAAUACACCCCAGUUGAUGUCGCCAGGGUCAGUGAGCCCCAUACAGUCAAAGAGGAGCAGACAUGGGGGCCAGUAGCACCCCUCAGUAGCCCAGCCCCGCUCCUCGCCGUGGAUGGACACAUACAAACCCGCUCCCCACCGCGGAUGGGUACGUACAAACUCCGUUCCUCACUGUGGACAGGCGUGUACAAACCCCAGCGGGGACUUUCUGCACUUCUCUUUCCCUUCUCCUCAUCUCCCCCAGCGCCACCC